GAGAUCUGGAAUCGGAAUCAGAAUGGAUGACUUCUAUUCCAACCGUUUGGUUGGGAAGAGUUUCAUUCCGAUUUUGAUUCCAGGGUGGAAUGGGAAUGGCUCUAUCUAUAUAGAACUCAAUCCCUACUCUCCUCUGUAGAUUCAAAUUUUCAUUCCAAUUCUGAUUCCGAUUUCGAUUCUGAUCAUGAACCAAAUGCUUCAGAGGAGUUAGCCAUUUUGAUUCCGAUUCUAAGCCAUUCCAAUUUCAAUUCCCAUUCCCAUUCCCAUUUUCAUUCCAAUUUUGGUUACAAACCAAACACCUCAGCUU
This 307-nucleotide long non-coding RNA is filed under the name Elaeis guineensis (African oil palm). RNAcentral describes it as "long non-coding RNA (EGUI_LNC075435)". The record is from RNAcentral. Lineage: Eukaryota; Viridiplantae; Streptophyta; Magnoliopsida; Arecales; Arecaceae.